CAGUCGAGCGGAAACGAGUUAUCUGAACCUUCGGGGGACGAUAACGGCGUCGAGCGGCGGACGGGUGAGUAAUGCCUAGGAAAUUGCCCUGAUGUGGGGGAUAACCAUUGGAAACGAUGGCUAAUACCGCAUGAUGCCUACGGGCCAAAGAGGGGGACCUUCGGGCCUCUCGCGUCAGGAUAUGCCUAGGUGGGAUUAGCUAGUUGGUGAGGUAAGGGCUCACCAAGGCGACGAUCCCUAGCUGGUCUGAGAGGAUGAUCAGCCACACUGGAACUGAGACACGGUCCAGACUCCUACGGGAGGCAGCAGUGGGGAAUAUUGCACAAUGGGCGCAAGCCUGAUGCAGCCAUGCCGCGUGUGUGAAGAAGGCCUUCGGGUUGUAAAGCACUUUCAGUCGUGAGGAAGGUAGUGUAGUUAAUAGCUGCAUUAUUUGACGUUAGCGACAGAAGAAGCACCGGCUAACUCCGUGCCAGC
Molecule: ribosomal RNA, 474 nt
Filed under: bacterium 1611-S5-05-1
Lineage: Bacteria
Description: bacterial SSU rRNA
Rfam family: Bacterial small subunit ribosomal RNA
Source: RNAcentral